CAAUAGCGUAUAUUAAAGUUGUUGCGGUUAAAAAGCUCGUAGUUGGAUUUCUGCUGAGAACGACCGGUCCGCCCUUUGGGUGUGUAUCUGGCUCUUUCUUGGCAUCUUCUUGGUGAACGUUGCUGCACUUGACUGUGUGGAGCGCUACCCAGGACUUUUACUUUGAGGAAAUUAGAGUGUUUCAAGCAGGCAUACGCCUUGAAUAUAUUAGCAUGGAAUAAUAAUAUAGGAUCUUGGUUCUAUUUUGUUGGUUUCUAGAGCUAAGAUAAUGAUUAAUAGGGACAAUUGGGGGCAUUCGUAUUAACGCGUCAGAGGUGGAAUUCUUGGAUUGCGUUACGACGAACUACUGCGAAAGCAUUUGCCAAGGAUGUUUUCAUUGA
Molecule: ribosomal RNA, 380 nt
Filed under: uncultured eukaryote
Lineage: Eukaryota
Description: partial 18S ribosomal RNA
Rfam family: Eukaryotic small subunit ribosomal RNA
Source: RNAcentral